RNAcentral lists this ribosomal RNA (467 nucleotides) under uncultured bacterium. RNAcentral describes it as "partial 16S ribosomal RNA". It matches the Rfam family "Bacterial small subunit ribosomal RNA", at positions 28 to 507 of the family's 1533-position model. The record is from RNAcentral.
GAUGAACGCUGGCGGCGCGCCUAACACAUGCAAGUCGAACGAUUAAAGCACCUUCGGGUGUGUAUAAAGUGGCGAACGGCUGGGUAACACGUGGGCAACCUGCCCCUCUCAUUGGGAUAGCCACGGGAAACCGUGGAUAAUACCGAAUACUUCGGGACUUCCGCAUGGAAGACUCGAGAAAGCUCCGGCGGAGAGGGAUGGGCCCGCGGCCUGUUAGCUUGUUGGUGGGGUAAUGGCCUACCAAGGCAAUGAUGGGUAGCUGGGUUGAGAGACCGACCAGCCAGAUUGGGACUGAGACACGGCCCAGACUCCUACGGGAGGCAGCAGUGGGGAAUCUUGCACAAUGGGCGAAAGCCUGAUGCAGCGACGCCGCGUGCGGGAUGAAGGCCUUCGGGUUGUAAACCGCUUUCAGCAGGGACGAGGCGAAAGUGACGGUACCUGCAGAAGAAGCCCCGGCUAACUACGUG